Molecule: ribosomal RNA, 484 nt
Filed under: uncultured bacterium
Lineage: Bacteria
Description: partial 16S ribosomal RNA
Rfam family: Bacterial small subunit ribosomal RNA
Source: RNAcentral
GAUGAACGCUGGCGGCGUGCUUAACACAUGCAAGUCGAACGAUGAAGGGGGAGCUUGCUCCUCUGGAUUAGUGGCGAACGGGUGAGUAACACGUGAGCAAUCUGCCCCUGACUCUGGAAUAAGCGUUGGAAACGACGUCUAAUACCGGAUACGAGCCGAGCAGGCAUCUGCAUCGGUUGGAAAGAACUUCGGUCAGGGAUGAGCUCGCGGCCUAUCAGCUAGUUGGUGAGGUAAUGGCUCACCAAGGCGACGACGGGUAGCCGGCCUGAGAGGGUGACCGGCCACACUGGGACUGAGACACGGCCCAGACUCCUACGGGAGGCAGCAGUGGGGAAUAUUGCACAAUGGGCGCAAGCCUGAUGCAGCAACGCCGCGUGAGGGACGACGGCCUUCGGGUUGUAAACCUCUUUUAGCAGGGAAGAAGCGAGAGUGACGGUACCUGCAGAAAAAGCACCGGCUAACUACGUGCCAGCAGCCGCCGUAA